RNAcentral lists this small RNA (620 nucleotides) under Pan troglodytes (chimpanzee). RNAcentral's name for it is "processed transcript". Lineage: Eukaryota; Metazoa; Chordata; Mammalia; Primates; Hominidae. The record is from RNAcentral.
CCAGACCAUCCUGAAUCCUCUGGACUGUUUCCCCUGUAUGUUUCCCUGGAAGCUUCAGGCAGUGCCUCAUAAGCCAAUGGAAUCUGUUGCUAAUAGCCACAGCAUAUCCCUUGCAUAAUAUGACCUCUAGAUUACUGCGCCUUAAUUGCUUCCCAGCUCUUCUAUGCUUUGGUUUAGAAAAAUGAAGUACUGACUUACGGGUGAAGAAAGUAUUCAAACAGUUGACAUAUUUAUUUCAGUCAAGAAACAGUUCAGAGGGAGAUACAAACAAGUAACUUAGUUACAAUGUGAUAGUUAUGAUGAGAGGAAGUACUGGGUGCUAAACAAUUACAUGAGAGACAGCUCAUGGAUGUAUGUUGUGUUCACAGCGAAGGUACUCCCUUCAGCCUGUCCCAGAAAGGAGGAUUCCAAACCGAUACUUAGGCCAGCCCAGCCCCUUUACACACCCACACCUCCUCAGACCAGGGGAGGUAACUCCAGGACUAUCUCAGGUGGAAUAUGCACUUCGCAGACACAAACUAAUGUCUCUGAUCCAGAAGGAAGCUCAAGGGCAGAGUGGGACAGACCAGACAGUGGUUGUGCUCUCCAACCCUACAUACUACAUGAGCAACGAUAUUCCC